AGAAUCAACGCUGGCGGCGUGCCUAACACAUGCAAGUCGCACGAGAAAGGGGCUUCGGCUCUGAGUAAAGUGGCGGCACGGGUGAGUAACACGUGAAUAAUCUACCUCCGGAGUGGGGAAUAACUGAGAGAAAUCUUAGCUAAUACCGCAUAACACUUACGAGUCAAAGCAGCAAUGCGCUUGGAGAGGAGUUCGCGGCCGAUUAGUUAGUUGGCGGGGUAAUGGCCCACCAAGACGAUGAUCGGUA
RNAcentral lists this ribosomal RNA (247 nucleotides) under uncultured bacterium. Its description in RNAcentral is "partial small subunit ribosomal RNA". It matches the Rfam family "Bacterial small subunit ribosomal RNA", at positions 26 to 285 of the family's 1533-position model. The record is from RNAcentral.